Cinara cedri is the source of this 242-nucleotide non-coding RNA. The record is from the annotation of a GenBank genome assembly. NCBI's taxonomy places the organism in Eukaryota, Metazoa, Arthropoda, Insecta, Hemiptera, Aphididae.
ACCCCAGUAUUAGUACAUACAACUGAACGGUUAUUUUGAAAAUUAAAAAUUAUACAAAUCUGUCUAAAGAAUUCAGUGAGGCAAGAACGACUAUAUAUACUUAAUGAUGAUAUCUACCGCGUUGUUGGACAUAGAAUAGAUGGAGAAGCAGAACUCGUGAACGUCCCGCAGCUUAUUUACAACUUUGCGAAUUAAAAAGCUUGUAAAGUGAAACUUUAACUGUUAUACUUAUUAUAGAUACU